CCUACGGGAGGCAGCAGUAGGGAAUAUUGCUCAAUGGGGGAAACCCUGAAGCAGCAACGCCGCGUGGAGGAUGAAGGUUUUCGGAUUGUAAACUCCUUUUGUUAGAGAAGAUAAUGACGGUAUCUAACGAAUAAGCACCGGCUAACUCCGUGCCAGCAGCCGCGGUAAUACGGAGGGUUCCAGCGUUACUCGGAAUCACUGGGCGUAAAGGGCGCGUAGGCGGGAUAGCAAGUCAGAUGUGAAAUCCUAUGGCUUAACCAUAGAACUGCAUUUGAAACUGUUAUUCUAGAGUAUGGGAGAGGUAGGUGGAAUUCUUGGUGUAGGGGUAAAAUCCGUAGAGAUCAAGAGGAAUACUCAUUGCGAAGGCGACCUGCUAGAACAUAACUGACGCUGAUGCGCGAAAGCGUGGGGAGCAAACAGGAUUAGAUACCCCGGUAGUC
This 440-nucleotide ribosomal RNA is filed under the name uncultured bacterium. RNAcentral's name for it is "partial 16S ribosomal RNA". It matches the Rfam family "Bacterial small subunit ribosomal RNA", at positions 338 to 795 of the family's 1533-position model. The record is from RNAcentral.